This 1839-nucleotide ribosomal RNA is filed under the name Vibrio parahaemolyticus. Its description in RNAcentral is "partial 23S ribosomal RNA". It matches the Rfam family "Bacterial large subunit ribosomal RNA", at positions 713 to 2630 of the family's 2925-position model. The record is from RNAcentral. Lineage: Bacteria; Pseudomonadati; Pseudomonadota; Gammaproteobacteria; Vibrionales; Vibrionaceae.
ACCCGAAACCGUAGUGAUCUAUCCAUGGCCAGGUUGAAGCACAGGUAAAAUUGUGUGGAGGACCGAACUCGUGAGCGUUGAAAAGCUUUGGGAUGAGUUGUGGAUAGGGGUGAAAUGCCAAUCGAACACGGAGAUAGCUGGUUCUCCCCGAAAUAGCUUUAGGGCUAGCCUUAAGUGUAAGAGUCUUGGAGGUAGAGCACUGAUUGGACUAGGGGUCCUCAUCGGAUUACCGAAUUCAGUCAAACUCCGAAUGCCAAUGACUUAUCCUUAGGAGUCAGACUGCGAGUGAUAAGAUCCGUAGUCAAGAGGGAAACAGCCCAGAUCGCCAGCUAAGGUCCCAAAGUGUGUAUUAAGUGGAAAAGGAUGUGGAGUUGCUUAGACAACUAGGAUGUUGGCUUAGAAGCAGCCACCAUUUAAAGAGUGCGUAAUAGCUCACUAGUCGAGUGACUCUGCGCCGAAAAUGUACCGGGGCUAAAGUGUAAAACCGAAGUCGUGUCAUAUGCAGCAAUGUAUAUGGGUAGGGGAGCGUUCUUAUUGGGUUGAAGCAGUACCGUAAGGAGUUGUGGACUGAUGAGAAGUGAGAAUGUCGGUAUGAGUAGCGAAAAGAAUGGUGAGAAUCCAUUCCACCGAAAGCCUAAGGGUUCCUGAGCAACGAUCGUCGUCUCAGGGUAAGUCGGGACCUAAGCCGAGGCGGAAAAGCGUAGGCGAUGGACAACAGGUUGAAAUUCCUGUACCGGUGUGAAUCGUUUGAUCGAUGGAGUGACACAGUAAGGUAGGUCAGCACGCGAUUGGAAGUGCGUGUUUAAGCAUGUAGGUUGAGCUAUAGGCAAAUCCGUAGCUCUAAAAGCUGAGAUGUGAUGACGAGUUACUAGCGAUAGUAACGAAGUGAUUGAUCCUACACUGUCGAGAAAAGCUUCUAGGUAGAGACACAUCGCCCGUACCAAAACCGACACAGGUAGGCGGGGAGAGAAUCCUAAGGUGCGCGGGAAAACCCUCGUUAAGGAACUCGGCAAAAUGCCUCCGUAACUUCGGGAAAAGGAGGACUCAUGUAGUGUGAAGUGCAGCAACGCAUGGAGCAUGAAUGAGUGGCACAAGAGAGGCGCAAGCGACUGUUUACCACAAACACAGGUGCCUGCUAAAGCGAAAGCUGAUGUAUAGGUGCUGACACCUGCCCGGUGCUGGAAGGUUAAGUUCCGACCCGCACGAAAGGCGUAACGACUUGCGCACUGUCUCAACGAGAGACUCGGUGAAAUUGUAGUACCUGUGAAGAUGCAGGUUACCCGCGACAGGACGGAAAGACCCCAUGGAGCUUUACUGCAACCUAAGAUUGAACUUAGUUAAUGAAUGUACAGGAUAGGUGGGAGACGUAGAAUCUAGGACGCCAGUUUUAGUGGAGUCGUUGUUGGGAUACCACCCUUUCAUUAAUUGAUUUCUAACGGGCCGAGUAACGACCGGCCGGACAGUCUUAGGCGGGCAGUUUGACUGGGGCGGUCGCCUCCUAAAGAGUAACGGAGGCGCCCAAAGGUUCCCUCAGAGCGGACGGAAAUCGCUCGAAGAGUGUAAAGGCAGAAGGGAGCUUGACUGCGAGACGGACAGGUCGAGCAGGGACGAAAGUCGGGCUUAGUGAUCCGGUGGUGCCGAGUGGAAGGGCCAUCGCUCAACGGAUAAAAGCUACCCCGGGGAUAACAGGCUUAUCUCCCCCAAGAGUCCACAUCGACGGGGAGGUUUGGCACCUCGAUGUCGGCUCAUCGCAUCCUGGGGCUGUAGUCGGUCCCAAGGGUUGGGCUGUUCGCCCAUUAAAGCGGUACGCGAGCUGGGUUCAGAACGUCGUGAGACAGU